ACUAUGUUGAGGAUACAAAAGAAUACAGCUACAAAAGGGAAGCAGUUGGAGCCUCAUUUCAUGUUGUGUUAUGUGAAUGCAGUCCUAACUAAAUAGGAAUAACCUUGCCAGUACUCAUGUGUCCCAACAUCUCAGAGUCAAGGUUUUGCAGCUACUCUUUUAUGAUCAGAGGAAUAAAGAGUGACCUUUGGGUUCCAGUCCAAUAGGAAAAACAUGAAGAUUCAGAUGUUAACUUGGUGGGACCAGAUUAUGUAUAAACUGUUGAGUGCACCCACUAUCUCCAAAGAACAAGAUUACUACACUAGAUCAAGAAAAUAUCAUGGAUAUAGUAUUUCUAGAUUUAAGGAAUACAACAAUUCUGUUAUUUCCCUGUUAGACAAGAUGGAGCGAAAAAGUUUACUGGAUAGCACUUCAGUUAGUUGUGAUAUCAGAUGCAGAGAAACAAAUCAGAUCUACGUGAAGAGGACUUCAUCUACUCUCUAUCAGACUCCUGAGCUGCCUGGAUGCCCUUAUACAGAGAGUGAAGAUAUGCCCAAGAUGAGUAAAUAUUUGAUGUAACAAACACUAAGGCUUAGAAGCAGCCUCUGGCAAAAUUAUCAGGUACUCCCUCUCCCUGAGUGCUCAAAUACCAUGAUGCUAGAAAUUCUCCAGUUGCGUCUUUCAUUAUACUUUCUUAUCUUAUUUCAAAUAUAUGUGCCAACAUCAGUAUAUUUGAUAGGUAGACUAUACCUAUUUCAAAAUGUCAGCUGCUCCCUUAACAUGACAAUAAUGGAUGUUACUUUGUUGACCUUCCAUUUCUGUCCUUAUUUUUGCCUUUA
RNAcentral lists this long non-coding RNA (818 nucleotides) under Monodelphis domestica (gray short-tailed opossum). Its description in RNAcentral is "lncRNA (ENSMODG00000033733.2)". The record is from RNAcentral. Lineage: Eukaryota; Metazoa; Chordata; Mammalia; Didelphimorphia; Didelphidae.